AAACGUAGGGGGCGAGCGUUGUCCGGAAUUACUGGGCGUAAAGGGUGCGUAGGCGGUCGUUUAAGUCCUGUGUGAAAGGCCCCGGCUUAACCGGGGAGAGCCAUGGGAAACUGGGCGACUUGAGUGUCGGAGAGGGUUGCGGAAUUCCCGGUGUAGCGGUGAAAUGCGUAGAGAUCGGGAGGAACACCAGUGGCGAAGGCGGCAACCUGGACGAUGACUGACGCUGAGGCACGACAGCUGGGGGAGCAAACAGGAUUAGAUACCCUGGUAGUCCCAGCCGUAAACGAUGAGUGCUAGGUGUUGCGGGUAUCGACCCCUGCAGUGCCGCAGUUAACGCAAUAAGCACUCCGCCUGGGGAGUACGGCCGCAAGGCUGAA
RNAcentral lists this ribosomal RNA (377 nucleotides) under uncultured bacterium. RNAcentral's name for it is "bacterial SSU rRNA". It matches the Rfam family "Bacterial small subunit ribosomal RNA", at positions 523 to 898 of the family's 1533-position model. The record is from RNAcentral.